This 696-nucleotide long non-coding RNA is filed under the name Homo sapiens (human). Its description in RNAcentral is "non-protein coding LINC02369:21". Lineage: Eukaryota; Metazoa; Chordata; Mammalia; Primates; Hominidae. The record is from RNAcentral.
AUCUCCAACAUAAGAAGGCAGGACUUGCUUCUGUGAGGUACUGAGCCACCCGUCCCUGGAGGAAAGCAAGAACAGAGCAGAUCAGAGCCCAGGCAGACAUCUUGGAUGAUGGGGUACAUCUUGCCAUCCAGAGGCAAUGCUGGAGCGGGCAGUUGUCUGCGGGGAGGCCCUGGCUCACUCUGGGCCAAAUAACAGGACUGAUUGCAGCCUGCGAUGAAACAUCCUGUUUCUCCCAACCAGAAACAGGUAGAGGAGCUGCUUUAGGAUGGAAGAUGAGGCUUGCUUUUUCUUUCUCCUAGAAGUCAGCAUUUUACAUGAUUCUGGGAGGGAAGAAAGGAGACAGGAACCAAGGAGCCUGAGUGGGGAUUUGCCCACCACUGGGCAGCCAGGCUCCCGUCAGGAAGGCUUUUCAGAGGGAGUGUUGGAAGGAGUCGUCGAGGAGUCUUCCUCACCCAGGAAGUCUUCCUCACCGGGUGAGCCCCAACCUGCUGGACCUGCUCAGAAUUUGCCCAACAGGGGAUCCUGGUUGACUGAGGUCUGCUAAUUCCAACUGGCCUACGCUAAAUUCUCCCAGAAUGUCUUCAUCAUCAAUGAAUCGCUUUCCACUGACACGACGCCUGGAAGAACAUAAACACUGUGAGGAUAAAUGCCAAUGAAAUAAUAAUAAAAUAAACUUUCUUUGGUGGCCAGAGGGAA